GAAGAAUAAGGAUCAAACCAGAUCAAAAUAUUUAUAUCUUUGUAAGCAGGCAUGUUCUGGGGUGCACUUUACAGUUCUGAAAAUAGUCACAAACCUUAGUUUCCUCCUGUAGGGGCUGCAACCAUACUACUGUAGUCUGAAGAGAAACCAGAGGGUGACAGGCAUUAGGAGCACUGCUGUGUGUAUCUCACAUAGGGCAACCAAGACAUUACGACUUCAUGAAGACCCUGCAGAGCACACCUGCUUCAGAACCCCCUGAUGAAUACCAUCUGGUUCAAGUGAUUUACUACACUUGCAUUUCAUGAGCUGCGCCGCGACAUCCCAAAUUAAGACAAGGA
Molecule: long non-coding RNA, 338 nt
Filed under: Gallus gallus (chicken)
Lineage: Eukaryota; Metazoa; Chordata; Aves; Galliformes; Phasianidae
Source: RNAcentral